This is a long non-coding RNA of Colossoma macropomum (tambaqui), 7215 nucleotides long. RefSeq lists it as uncharacterized. The record is from RefSeq and is a predicted model, not a curated record. The transcript has 2 exons. Lineage: Eukaryota; Metazoa; Chordata; Actinopteri; Characiformes; Serrasalmidae.
ACCCUUCAUGCUCCUCCUCUCUACGCAGCCUGCACUCCAUUCCUUCCUCGUCUUUCGCUUCAACUAUCCUGACCACCCUUCCCCAUCCUGAUUCAUUUUCUUCUCUGUCACUGGACACAGCUACAGAUGUUUUCCUGUCUUCACUCUCAUCUGCAAUUAACUUUGUGUUCUCUCUCCUCCAGAUCUUCCCCACCUGCCCCCUGGCUGACAGGUGUCCUGUGCAGCAACCGGCAAGAACUAAGGAAGGCUGAGAGAAGGUGGAGGAAAUCCCAGCUCGACCUGGAUCUUCGCUCCUAUCAAUCUUUCCUUUCCAAGUUCUCACUCGAAGUUACUGCUGCAAAGUCAUCUUUCUACAGAGGGAAACGGGCAGCAUCAGCAUCUGAUCCACGCAAGUUCUUUAGCAUUUUCUCCUCUCUCCUCAACCCUCCUCCUCCCCCUCCACCCUCUUCUCUCACUCCUGAGGAUUUUAUCACCUUCUUUGAGGAGAAGGUUGAUAGAAUCCACCAGUCUUUUCCCUCUGUCCCCACUCCUUCCACUAGACCUCCUCCUCUCGUUCUCAAUCCCUUAAACUGUUUUUCUUCUCUUUCCACAGAUGUCCUUCAACUGAUCAAAUCCAGUAACCCAACCACUUGAUCCCAUCCCAUCUGCACUGUUCCAGUCAAUCUCCAAGGAUCUACUGCCCUUCAUCACUUUUCUCUUUAACAAGUCCUUGUCAACAGGUGAAGUUCCAUCCUCUUUCAAGACUGCAAGAUUCCUUCCCAUCCUGAAGAAGCCCAUGCUUGACAGCACCGAUGUCAACAACUACAGACCGGUAUCACUACAGACAUUCUUUCCUUUCAAAAAAUCUUGAACGUGCAGUCUAUAAUCAACUGUCUCUCUUUCUCACACAGAACCAGCUCCAGGACCCCAACCAGUCUGGCUUCAAACCAGCGCACUCAACAGAAACUGUUCUUAUAGCAGUGACUGAGAAGCUCCAGUCAGCAAGAUCAGCCAAACUGUCAUCUGUCCUGAUUCUUCUUGACCUCUCAGCAGCUUUUGACAUGGUCAACCAUACAAUCCUUCUGGACGUCCUCACCAACCUUGGAAUCACUGGCUCUGCGUGGAAGUGGUUCAAAUCCUAUCUGGAGGAUCGCUUUUAUCAGGUUUCCAGUUGCAUCUCGGCAUGUCUGACUGACAUCUCUUCACGGAUGGCAGCUCACCACCUGAAGCUCAAUCCUAGCAAGACUGAGCUGCUAUUCAUCCCUGCAACUACAGGUCCUCAUCAUGAUCUUGCCAUCUCAUUGGUUGUUUAUAAAGGUGUAAUAACCUGGACAAUUAUUUUAUUGUGUUUGUUAAGCACUAAUGACUCCUCUGUAAUAAACUCAUGAACAGAAGCAGAAACAGUUCUGUUCAAGUCUAUUUGAUGACACUGUAUUCAAACAAACAUUCAUCACCCUGUUUUAUCUUUCAGUAAAUAAAAGAACCUUAAAUCUUACUUUAGACAGGAAUGAACAGAAUAAAAUAUAAAAACAGUACUGACUGAUUUAACAGUAUUAAUGAGCUUUACAGCUCCUCUUUUUUUCCCCCAGUGUGCACUGUGGGUGUGUUUGUGCUGACAGUAAAGGAUAUCUGUGUUAUUCUGUUCAGAUUGGGGGAGUCAGAGUGCAGUUCUGGAGGAACACAGCACUGCAGAGUUUAGUCUCAGUUUAACUCAGGAGUUAAAGUGGGAGGAUUAGAGCUACACUGGUAACAACAAUUCACACUUAUAUUAACACAACUUUUCAUGCUUUAUUGACUCAACCCAGAUUUCCCAGUGUUCACACAACAUGUAUAUACAGUCAUGUGCAAAAGUUUGGGCACCCCAGUCAAAUUACAUGUUUUGUUGGUUUUCUAAGUGAAAAUAAGUUAACACAUCCCGUACAGAACAAAAACACUUCUACACAUUUUAAUAUGCAGCUAUUGUUUAUUUGCUGAAUUAAACAUAUUAGGAAAAAAAUAAAACAUAACAUGUUGCCUGUGUGAACUGGUUAUUCAAAAUAACCAGUAACCUAAAUGUGUCUUCUGAGUUUUAUAUGUAAAGUUGAUAACGGUAAAAUAAUGGAAAAUUUGUAAACUGCAUUUUGUUUGGAAACUAUUUUGUCUCACAACACCCUGCAUAUACACCACAAAAUGUAUUUUCCAAAAGGUUUAAGACCAAAACAUUCUCAAAACUAUCAUAAAACAAUGUCUUAGGCAUCAGACAGAGGAUUUGUAAACAUUUCAUGUAAUAACUUUCUGAUACCUUAAACUCUUUAGAUGUCUGGUUGCUAUCACCGCCACUGUUUGGUAAGUUUCUUUAGAAUGGAGCAUUUCACAUCACACUUCUCUGAACUUCUCUGUGUAAGUCUUAACCAGUUAAUUUUACAGAAAUUUUGAAAAAUCUGUGACACUACAGAUGACUUUAGAGACUCUGAUCUACUCUAACAUGUAUUUUUAAAUAGAGAAUAAUGUUCAUUUGUGAAAUCAUUACACAUCACUCAUUAUUUUACGACAUUGUUUUUUUCUUUUUCCUGAGCACAGAAUCAGAAAUCUGAAGAAUCCAAACCUGUCUCAAAAAUCAGGGAGCAAGCUGGAGAAUUGAGCUUUAUUUCUUGUGCGCAGGUGCAAGACAUUUAGCCAGCAAAACAAUGGACUGACACUGUUUGAUAGCUGGACUAAUGUCAAGAUUGGGCCCAGCCUAUACAUGACAAGUGACAGGUGUGACAGAUAUGACCAUGUAGGGAUAAACGAAAAUGAUAAAGACAGAAUGUUCUAAACACAAUCACAGUACAGGCACACACAAUACUGAACCUAAUGACAUAUAAUACAGCACUGAACACAUUACACAGAAGUACAUUCCUUCAAAUCAUAAUGUCUCUUUUAUAAAGGAGAGAAUCACAAGAUAAUCACUUUCACGAUUUCAGAAAAAUCAUAAUGUUUCUUUCUGCUGCUCUCAUUGCAUUCACUGUUGAAAACUGUAAAUAAUCUAUUCAGUCUUUGAUACGGGUGAGAUGAUCAGUGGAGCUGAGUUUUCACCUCCAUCAUUUAGACCAGGGCUGAAGUAUGGAUAGAGUUUCUCAGUGAAAGACUGACCAGUGAAAGAGUAGAUAUGAGAUCUGGACUCCACAUCAUAAAAGGAGACCAGACCCUCCUCAUAAUCCACAAACACUCCCACCUUCUGGGGCUUCUCUUUUAGGGAGAGGGAGAUGCAUGGAAACUCAUUAGCAUCAAACUUAUUCCCAUUCCUCAUCCACACAGUCCAGAAUCCUUUCUGUGGGCUCAAUGUAAUCUUCCCCUUCCUGUUAAUGGACUCUCUGACCAAUCCUAAAUCCCAGUUAAUCUUUUCCCUGACCUGCACCUCAUAGUAAAAUCUCCCGGAGGAGAAUCCCUCCUUUCCCAGGACAUUGACACAUGAAUCAAACCUCUUUGGAUUGUCAGGGAGAUUCCGUUUUGUGUCUCCACAUCUCACCUGUUUUCCAGCAUCAGACAGGAUGAGAUCAGGAUGAGCUGUAUCAGCAUCCAGAGUCACAUCCACUGAGAGAAACACACAGUGUGUGAUAUGAAUAUACAGAUAAUAAAUGAAUUUAUUAUCCAGUGAAUCAUGCUGAGUAUUGAGUACUUUAGAAUGAUUUAGAGAAAAAUAAAAUAAAUUUUGUAAAGAACUAUAAGGAAUAACACUUCGAGCUACACUAAGGCCAGUGGUGUGAUGGUGAUGAUAAUAAUAAAAUAAGAUAUAAUAGCAUAUUGUCACAGUUCCCUACAUUCCCACUGUCUCUGCCUCCCAGCCUCCAGACUCCAUUACCCAGAACCCCACUCCAGAUCACAUGACCAUUGAUCUCCCUAGCAUGACCAUUUACUACAUACACCUAUUCCUUGUUCCAUAAGCUUGUUAGUUUGGUAUAUAAGCCCGGGCUUUAGCUUAGUCUCAUUGUGAAGUAUUGCCUUUGUUUACAGAGACUUACUGAGCUGUCCAUCUGCCUGUUUGCCUUAUUAUUUAUGACCUUUGCUUUGUGUUUCGACUUUGUCUUUUGCCCUGCCCUGUCAGUAUUGUUGGGCUUUCUGGUUUGACCUUGUUUCUGAUUUUGGACAUUGCUUUCUGGACUCUUCUUAUGGUUACUGUUUUCAUGUUUUGACUUUUGACCUUGGACUGGCUGACCUUGACUUUGGUUCGUCCAUUUGUUAAUAAACCUAUUUUACUGACCUAUAGUCUGCGAGCGUCUGAAUUCUGUCUGAGCCUGACACAUAUCAAAUAAUAAAGAGAUAAAAAAACUGUACCUGCAAACUGCUGAAUCCUCUUCAGUUCUGUUGAGACUAAUUACAAUAAUAAUCAUAGUUAUUAGAUUUUAAAGCGUUGAUUCUAAUGUUAGACUUAAAUUUCAAAGCUAUAAACUUAACAGACACAAAACCUCUUUUAAGUUCAUCAGUUAUAUUCCAUAUAGCAUCUAAAAAAGAUUCUUCCACAGACUUCUGUCUGAAAAAUAUGUACAAUACAAACAUUUCUCACCUGAUUCUCUGAUCUUCUCAUCCAGACUCUUCUGAAGUUCAGAUAGAGCAUUCCUCACAGUCUCGACACUCAGAUGAGGGUCAGUACUGAUGUCAGUCCAGUUCUUGGUGUGUGGAGGUCUGCACAGUGAUGGGUAAAUCUACAGUCCAGCAGGAGAGAGGAGAAAUCGCUCAGCAUGGGCAGUGUUGUUGUUUGAUGUGCUGCAUUGUCACUGAGCAGAUAGAGGGACACUGACCUGUAGGAGGUGGAGGUGGUCCUCAGUGUGGGAGAGCUGCUCCAGCUCAGUGUCUCUCCUCUUCAGCUCAGUGAUUUCCUGCUCCAGCUCUUUAAUGAGGUCUUCAGCCUGCCUCUCUGCUGCUUUCUGCUUCUCCUCCAUCACCUCAAGCAGCUCAGCCUGGCUUCUUUCAAUGGAGCGCAUCAGAGCAGUGAGGACUUCAACACUGUCUGCUUUCUCUUUCUUUGUGUUUCUCUGAUGGAGGAACAACUUUACACUUUAAUCACAAGUCAAAUCUGCAGACUGAAAUAGUUAUAACAAAUGAUGUUUAACUCACUUUUCUGAGCUCUACUGAGUGUUUGAUGUCUUUGAUCUUCUUCAGUCUGUCUUGGAUCAUCUGCUGCACCUCUGACUGUGUCUUUUCCAGUUGUGACUGUGAGCAGAGAGGAAAACAAUUUUUAUUUUCAUAGAUCAAAGGUAAAAUACUUGUAGAAUGUUUUGCUUUUUUAUCCUAAUUUCAUUGAAAUUAUUAUUUUUUUUUAACUUUAGCUCUUAAUUGGGAUGUUUCAUUGUCUAAAGUUACUCCCACCUUUAUCUCUCCACUCUCCUGCUCUAUAGGAACCGUGUUAUGAUUCCUGUGAUCUCCUUCAGUGCAAAAUUUACACAAACACAUCUGGUCAUCUCUACAGAACAGCUCCAGGGGUCUCUCAUGCUUCUGGCGUAUGUAGCCCUCGAGGUUCUCCACUGGGUUUAUUAGCCUGUGUUUCUUAAGUCGUGGAACAUUAUAAUGAAGCUCUAAAUGAGACUUACAAAAAGUCACAACACAAUUCAGACAGGUUUUCAGGGCUUUCUGCUUCACUCCAGUGCAGGCAUCACAAAGAACCUCAGGUUUAUUCAGAUCACUUUUCUUCUUGAAGUGAUCUACAACCUCUCUGAAGGCUGUAUUGAUCUUGAGUUCUGGUCUCUUGGUGAAUUCCUCUUUACAGAAUGGACAGUGACACUGCUCACUGUCACCCCAGCAUGUUUUAAUGCAUUUCAUGCAGAAAUUGUGUCCAGAUGGAGUGGAGACUGGAUCAGUGAACACAUCCAGACAGAUAGAACACAGGAACUGAUCUUCAGACAGGAGACCACUGGAGUCAGGAGCAACUGUGGAUGAAUGAAACAGUACAGUAAUUUACUGUAUGAAUUAUCUAAGCACAUUUUUCAUACCGAUUGUGGAACUGACAUCAAUCUCCUGCACUGAGCACAACACUGACUUUAUACUGCUGCUGUAUUGACUUGACUGAGAUUGUUUAACCCUCAACAUGACACUAAGAAUGUGAACAACAUUUCAUUCUACAGUUAAUAAUCUGUUUUUACUUUGAUUUUACUGUACUGAUAUUGAUAAUAUCAAAGUUAAGGUCAUCCUGACAAAAAGAGAUAUUUUAGUCAUGUAUAUGUGAGCUGUGUAAACUUACAGUCCUGUCGUUCCUCCAUGCUGCUCAUUCCUCUGCCUGCUCUCGCUUGUUGUGAUGAAGAUUCAGCCAUUUUCUUCCUCCUCCUGUUUAACACCUUUCAGUAAGAAAUCACAUCACUCAGCUCACACAUUUAACACAACACACCUGCCUGCUGCCUUAAACUCACUCAAACAAGUAUUAUAUCAAGUACGUCCACACAGACAGAGACGCUGGAGGUCCUGAGAUGACACUGUUCUGUAUCUGCAGACUGUAAAAGCUCUUUUCCUCUUUAUACUGACCAUCAUCACAGCUCUCAGCUCAGUGAUAUCAUUCACAGUUUCUCACUGUCUGCUCUGUCUGAAUGAGGGUUUUUGCUCCACUCUGCUUUAACCAGUUAACACAACAACCUUUCAACCUGUUUUACAGCUCAGCUUACAAGCUCCAUCAGAGAACAUCAAAUAUUAUUCCUCUUGUUUGAGACAAUAAACACAUUGUAUUCAACAUCAGUAUUCCAGCUGUUGAUCUGAUCACUUUCUCAGUGUUAAACGUUUCAUCUGACUUUGUUUACUCAUGUAGUUCACCAUGAUGAAGCUCACACUGACUAAACCUCUGAUCUAUGAAUCUUUCACUGAAGUACAUACCUUUAUUUUUCUCUGUCCUUUUCUUGGAGAGUCAGAACUGUCUGUGUUUGAACUCUUCUCAGAGUUUCUGAAUAUCCAGCAGUUCAAAUCAGCACUUAUUGUGAAGAAGAAUGUCGUUUUUCAGUUUGAACUUCCUGAUUCAUUCAGUUUCACUUUCACCUGCCAAAUGUGAUGCCACUUCCCUGUUUAUCUGUUAUUAGUACUGGAUUGGAUUAAGAUGACAACAGUUUAAUUCUCAACAUAAUGAUAAUAAUUGAAUUGUGGAAUAUUUUAGAAAUAGUUGUGAAUGUAAUGUUUUAUUAAUAAGUAAACAUUAUAAAUGUAAUUCACUGUUUGAGACCGUAUCUCACUCUUUUACUGCUUCAGUGCAAUUAGCAUCACUGAAUUAAGCUUUUCUAAAAGGAGUUUAUAUUCAGGGAUUGG